Molecule: long non-coding RNA, 643 nt
Filed under: Lotus japonicus
Lineage: Eukaryota; Viridiplantae; Streptophyta; Magnoliopsida; Fabales; Fabaceae
Description: long non-coding RNA (LJAP_LNC000450)
Source: RNAcentral
GUUUCCGUAGGAGGGCUUGGUGGUGUAACCACGGGAGGUGUUGGUGUAGGUGGUGUAACAAUCGGUGGGGUUGGUGUAGGUGGUGUAACAAUAGGUGGUGAUGGUACAACUGGGGGUAGUGGAACAUAAGGUGGAGGGUAAACAAUUGGUGGUUUCACAAUAGGAGGUGUUGGAACAUAAGGUGGAGGGUAAACAAUUGGUGGUUUCACAAUAGGAGGUUUUGGAACAUAAGGUGGAGGGUAAACAAUGGGUGGUUUUGGCACAUAAGGUGGUGUCACCGGUACAACCGGUGGCUUAGGCACAUAUGGCGGUGUAACUGGUACAACAGGUGGUUUUGGCACAUAAGGUGGAGAAACAACUGGUGGCUUAGGAACAUAAGGUGGUGGUUUCACAACUGGUGGUUUAGGCACAUAAGGAGGUUUCACAAUUGGUGGUUUGGGAACAUGGGGUGGUUUUGGCACAUAAGGUGGUUUCACAAUUGGUGGUUUUGGAACAUGGGGUGGUUUCACAACUGGUGGUUUUGGCACAUGAGGUGGUUUAACCACUGGAGGCUUGGGAUAGUGAGGUGGUUUUGGUGAUGGCUUGGGGGGUGGACAUGGUUCCGGGCCAUGAGAUGGAGGGUACUUUGGGGGGUUAUGAACUG